This 253-nucleotide ribosomal RNA is filed under the name uncultured bacterium. RNAcentral's name for it is "partial 16S ribosomal RNA". It matches the Rfam family "Bacterial small subunit ribosomal RNA", at positions 524 to 776 of the family's 1533-position model. The record is from RNAcentral.
GACGGGGGAUGCAAGCGGUAUCCGGAAUCACUGGGCGUAAAGCGUCUGUAGGUGGUGAUGCAAGUCACUGGUGCAAAACUCUGGCUCAACCGGAGGAAAGCCAGUGAAACUGCAUGACUAGAGUGUGGGAGAGGUAGAAGGAAUUCCCUGAGUAGCGGUGAAAUGCGUAGAUACAGGGAAGAACACCGGAGGCGAAAGCGUUCUACUGGAACACAACUGACCCUGAGACACUAAAGCUAGGGGAGCGAAUGGG